Molecule: ribosomal RNA, 116 nt
Filed under: Flavonifractor plautii
Lineage: Bacteria; Bacillati; Bacillota; Clostridia; Eubacteriales; Oscillospiraceae
Source: RNAcentral
GUUGGUGUUGAUUGCGGUGAGGGUCCACCCGUUCCCAUCCCGAACACGGAAGUUAAGCUCACCUGCGCCGAAAAUACUUGUCUGGAGACGGACUGGGAAGAUAGGUAACGCCGACA